CCUACGGGAGGCAGCAGUGGGGAAUUUUGGACAAUGGGCGCAAGCCUGAUCCAGCAAUGCCGCGUGAGUGAAGAAGGCCUUCGGGUUGUAAAGCUCUUUUGUCAGGGAAGAAACGGUAGAGGCUAAUAUCCUUUGCUAAUGACGGUACCUGAAGAAUAAGCACCGGCUAACUACGUGCCAGCAGCCGCGGUAAUACGUAGGGUGCAAGCGUUAAUCGGAAUUACUGGGCGUAAAGCGUGCGCAGGCGGUUUUGUAAGUCUGUCGUGAAAGCCCCGGGCUCAACCUGGGAAUUGCGAUGGAGACUGCAAGGCUUGAAUCUGGCAGAGGGGGGUAGAAUUCCACGUGUAGCAGUGAAAUGCGUAGAGAUGUGGAGGAACACCGAUGGCGAAGGCAGCCCCCUGGGUCAAGAUUGACGCUCAUGCACGAAAGCGUGGGGAGCAAACAGGAUUAGAUACCCUGGUAGUCCACGCCCUAAACGAUGUCUACUAGUUGUCGGGUUUUAAUUAACUUGGUAACGCAGCUACGCGUGAGUAGACCGCCGUGGGNGGUACGGUCGUCGAGAGUUAAACGUUAAAGUUAGUUAAGUUAGUACGGCGUUGAGACGUUGCCGACGGACGACGACGAGGGAGGAGG
This 633-nucleotide ribosomal RNA is filed under the name uncultured bacterium. Its description in RNAcentral is "bacterial SSU rRNA". The stretch from base 1 to 540 matches the Rfam family "Bacterial small subunit ribosomal RNA", at positions 338 to 873 of the family's 1533-position model. The record is from RNAcentral.